UGCUAAAAGUAGUGAUUAUUUACAUGGAGUCUGGUGGGUCUAUCUCUGUAGGGAUCCAUCCCAUAAUGUUGUCACACACUUAGAAUAAUAAUCUGAUGUUGUCAACGGCAACAACAGAACUUUUAGCGGAUGGGAAAAUAGAGUCCAGGUU
This is a long non-coding RNA of Etheostoma spectabile (orangethroat darter), 151 nucleotides long. RefSeq lists it as uncharacterized. The transcript is spliced from 2 exons. NCBI's taxonomy places the organism in Eukaryota, Metazoa, Chordata, Actinopteri, Perciformes, Percidae. The record is from RefSeq and is a predicted model, not a curated record.